GCUGCCUUAGCUCAGGGGUAGAGCAUGCGAUUGCAGUAACAGUCAUCGCAGGGUCACUCGUUCGAAUCGGGUAGGUAGCU
Polychaeton citri CBS 116435 is the source of this 80-nucleotide non-coding RNA. The record is from the annotation of a GenBank genome assembly. NCBI's taxonomy places the organism in Eukaryota, Fungi, Ascomycota, Dothideomycetes, Capnodiales, Capnodiaceae.